CAGUAGCCGCGGGAAUACGUAGGGUGCGAGCGUUAAUCGGAAUUACUGGGCGUAAAGCGUGCGCAGGCGGUUUUGUAAGACAGGCGUGAAAUCCCCGGGCUCAACCUGGGAAUGGCGCUUGUGACUGCAAAGCUAGAGUGCGGCAGAGGGGGAUGGAAUUCCGCGUGUAGCAGUGAAAUGCGUAGAUAUGCGGAGGAACACCGAAGGCGAAGGCAGCCCCCUGGGCCAAUACUGACGCUCAUGCACGAAAGCGUGGGGAGCAAACAGGAUUAGAUACCCCCGUAGUCCCUGUCUCUUAUAC
This 301-nucleotide ribosomal RNA is filed under the name uncultured bacterium. Its description in RNAcentral is "partial 16S ribosomal RNA". It matches the Rfam family "Bacterial small subunit ribosomal RNA", at positions 509 to 807 of the family's 1533-position model. The record is from RNAcentral.